AUUUGAGUUAGAGGUUGCAUUUUCAAUGAGUAAUUAUUCAGAAGCCGAAUGGGGCAUAUGUUGAAUAAUAGAAAGGUGAAGAUGCCGAAACUUGUAUUGUCCAUUAAAUAUACAGGUUGGGCCAGUUAUCGAAAGAAACUGGACUGUCACAUACGUGAUGUGCUACCUAUAUA
This 173-nucleotide non-coding RNA is filed under the name Staphylococcus sp. Its description in RNAcentral is "Lysine sequence". It matches the Rfam family "Lysine riboswitch aptamer". Rfam says of the family: Riboswitches are metabolite binding domains within certain messenger RNAs that serve as precision sensors for their corresponding targets. Lineage: Bacteria; Bacillati; Bacillota; Bacilli; Caryophanales; Staphylococcaceae. The record is from RNAcentral.